Molecule: non-coding RNA, 5174 nt
Organism: Lolium perenne
Lineage: Eukaryota; Viridiplantae; Streptophyta; Magnoliopsida; Poales; Poaceae
Source: RefSeq, a predicted model, not a curated record
ACUAGGUUGGUGAUUGAUGCAACUGGUAUUUAACUUGAGGGAUGCAUAAUUCGGGAUGGAUUUCUGGUUUGGGUGAUCUGCUUAUGGCCAUUGGUACAUCUGCAGAUUCCGCUAUGACACCGUUGGGCAACACGACGACGGAGGCCUGAAGUUGUAUGACCAGCAACAGCAUCCGUGGGCAGCAUCUGCUGGCACAAUGAAGGAACUGCUCAACAAUGGAUUUCUAUCCUGUGAAUUGGUGUAACAAAUAAAUUUUCCAAUGUCAGCUGCAGCAAGAUAUAGGUGUUGUACCCAAUUUUGUUUCUGUGAUUUAUCUAUUAUACAUCACACUGUCCGCUGAUGCAUAUUUGAAGUUUUUUGAAAUUUAUUGAAAUUGAAGGGAAAUAGGGAUACAAGGAACAUGCAUCUUUUAUGCUAUUUUCUUAUUCCAUAUACAGUUGGUUGCAGUUUCUUGAAAGUAAAGUGAGGUAAAUAUAUGUUGGUUGUAGCAAAAUCUAACUAGCACUCUAUUAUCACCUUUAUUUUAGGUGACUUUCCUACUGCACAACACAAUUUCUGGUGACGCAUAUCUGAAGUUUGUUGCAGUUUUUAGAAAUGAAGUAAAAUAUGGACGUAGGCAGCAUGCCGAUGUAUAAUUUUUCGAAGCUGGUGUACUAAACCUGCCCAUACCUAAAAAGCAUGAAAUAUUUGGUAUGAAGUAGGUAAAAAACCGUUAUUAUGUUGUGCUCUUCCACUCUUUAGAUUAUCUUAGCUCCAUAUAUGUUUCCUAAAUUGCAAUGAUAGACAAAACUCUAUUAGGCUAAUACUGAAACAUCACAUUAUUUAUCAUCACAUUGCAUGGUGAAAUUUAUUUUCUUACCGGCACUAUCAUUGUCAAAGAAGAAUAGUCAGACUUCUUACUUAAGGAUAAAAUAAUACACUAACUCUGGGGUUUUACGUUGCUUAAUUAUAAUACUCAUUGCAGUAAAUAAAAAAAUGCAUUCCAUAUAGAUUCCGAUGUCCUUAUAUAGGACUGUAUUUUAUCAGGUGCGCCCUCUCACAAAGAACUCACAUAAUUGGGCAUUCAUUCCAAUUUUAGCAACCCAUUGCUACUCGUAGGUAUGAAUACAAAUAUAUUACUUCACUUCUGCUAUUCCACCUUUUAUAAUUAGAACUUUAUUGUAGAGAUAUAUCCAUCUAUGCAAAUAUCAGAAUGAAUGGUGGAAGCAGGUGUUGUUCGCAUACCAAGGGAAAUUUUUAGUGGCACUAAGCAGAAUAAAACAUGACCGUGUUGCACUUCUUCAUCAUGCAUACAAUGCACAACCACUCUCUCAAUGUAAAAGGGUGCCAGGUUGUACAGUGGUUCAAUCUAUCGCCAACAAGCUGGUUAUACGUCGUGGUAUGACCUCUAAUUUGUCUACCGCCGAAAAAGUUACGAUUUCCUUUUCAGAGAAGCAUUACGAACUAUUAAUCUUGGUGGAGGAGAAGAAACUUUGUAUACUAAUUGAUGUGCCUACCGGACCUGCAAGUGACACAUUGGUACACCUAAGAACUAUAAUUGUCGAUGAACAGUAGUUACCCACUACAUUAAAAAAACUACCCUUGCAUAUGUUUACAAGUAAUAUUUCUUCAACGGUGGUUUUGUCGGAGAGCAUCCUGAAAUAUGGUGGUAUCAGGAAUUUCAUUUUGUGAUGAUUUUCACACAUCUUGCAGAUUCAGAGGCCAUAUAUGCAUGGUAGCGGCUGGAGCUACAAUUAAAAUAUUCAGAAAUUCCCACUGUCAUGAACCCCAUCCUUUCUUUUGCGUUUAAUACUGAUGUUAUGCUUUUGUGUGAAACAUGGCCUAAUGAUUCAGGGAGCUAGCUGCUCAUUAGUGAACUUUGCCGUUUCUUGUGUGUUUGUAUAGGUAUGCUAUAAAUUACAGUCAAUACCUUCAGGUUUUAUAUGGAUUUCAAGUUUGCUUUGUUGACUUGCUUGCUUCCAAUUAGAAGAAAUCUAUGGGUUUCAUGGAAAGUAUAAUUUGCAGGUGCUCAAGGAUGAACAUUUUCUAUCUUAUGUUGGCACCAUGCAGAUGGUAUCUGCCACUGUUGUUACCCGAUCACUUACAUGUACAUGGUCUGCUUCUCAGUUUUUGUGUUGUUUUUGUAGGUCGUGUGAUCAAAAGGUUAACUGGAUUAGGCAAGGCAUGAUUGAUUAUUGUUGCCUCCUAUUUUGAAAGGCACUAAUUCUUUGAUUAUUGCUGCCUCCUUCUAUUUUGAACCACACACUCGCUGCAGAUGGAAGGGAUUCUAUCUAAAAUGAGGAGUAUACAAAUGAAUCUGAUGUUGGGCAAACUUUAUAGGAUAUCUGGAAUAACUGUGCAGCUGCGCAUUCUUUCUGAAUUAUAAUAUAAAACUUUUUUAGAGUUCCUAUGGGUCAAUCAUUUUUAGUUCUGGUGGGGGUUUAAUUUUUGUAGGGGGUUUUGCAGUGCUAUCAUUUACAUUAUAUACUGUUUUGCAUGAGAGUAUAGAUUACGAUAUUAACACGUACAGAUUUUCAAAUAUUGCUUCUAAAAAUAUCAGGUCAGAGGCAUGUAUGCUAUUUAAGCAGUGUUUUUCCUACCUUGGAAACUUGUGGUUGUAGUUGCUCCUCACCUAUGGCAUGUUUUGUUAUUUUGUAUUUUGUUCUCGGAAAACUAGGAGAGAGCAUAUAAAUAAAAGGUGCUCAUAUCUUGCUAGCAAGUGCCUAUUAUGAUCCAUGUGAUGAUUCAUUUGCGGAUGACUAAAUCGAAACCUCGGAAUGUUUUAUCUUCGGAAAAAAUAAUUGGUAAACCAUUCUGCGAGGUAUUGUUUGCCAUGUGGUGUGGAGUGUCUUCAUCUCAUUUUUAUUUGGCUAGCUGUAGUCUAGAGCGUUUCUCAAAUAAUUUUAGAAUGGAUUUUGUGAAGAUUUGCAGAGAAGUAAGUCGAAACCUUCUUUACCGUAAACUAACUCAAAACCUCAGGUUUUAAAUUUUUUCACCGUACAUAAUAAUUCUUAUAUACCUGCUACUUAUAAUGUCAAUCAUAUUUAAUUUUAAUUCAUUGUUUUACAGACCAUCAUAUUUGCCUAAAGAUGGUAUUUCAGUUUCAUGAAAUAAUUGUUUCCCGUCAUAUAAGAAUCAAUUACUUUAUUCAGUUACUAAACAUUCCAAAUGGACUAUGAAUAUGCAGAUUGGCAUUCAAGUCCCUCCGGGAUCCCUUUGCUAAAGAAGCAUCACUACCUUGCUGGCUUUAUGCAGACCAAUCAGCUCAUUCUUGGCUUAUUCUGAAGGCAACUAUCGGUUCUUUUGCAGCUGAUGAAGCAUUUUAUUGGAUCUCAAUUUGCAUGAAAAGCUUCACUGAUUCAAUCAUGGCAGUCGUGUAUCUUCCAGAUUUGUAAUGCUAUUCUGUAGUGUAAGGAUUUCUUCAUCCCUAUGAGUUGAUUGCUAAUUGCUAAGCUACUAUCUCAAGCUAAGUAUAGUUACCUCUUGCUAAUGUCAUUAUUAGUUGCUUUCUAAUUGCUUUCCAGCUCACAAGAGGAUUUUUUUAAAAUCUGCGAGUUGUUCCUUUUAUCUUGCAGCUUUUGAACAGAAACUACAACCUUAACUCAACUAAUAUAUAAACAAUAUUCAGAGGAGUAAGGUCAAUGCUUUGAUUUGUGCUAGCUUUAUCCACCGAAUUCAGUAGUGUAUUACUUUUGUUAGCAUUUUUUAAAUAUAGAUGUUGAUGUGGAUCUUCAGAUAUGUUUCCGCCCUUUUUGGACAAUGCUAAACGCAAUAAGUUACUAGAUGCCUAGAAGGACUACAAACUAGAUGCGGCAUGCCUUAUUGAUCAGUAUUCACAGUAACGCAAUGUUGUGACUGCAUGUUUAGUUUUCGUUGCUAAAUUGGAUUUUUUACCUGAGUAUAUCUUUGAUCAGUAUUCAGGCCUCUAAUUCUUUGCUCUACUACUGAUUAAGUAGGGCAUGUUGAGCCAAGAAGUACUAAAAUAUAUCUUCUUUGUUUCUUCUCAUGUUUGUUCUCGUGUGGUGUUCAUGCCUAGCAUCGCAAAAAUCUGCUACACUUCCACUUACAAUGAGGUUAAGUAAUCACGGCUUGCUCUUAAUUUCCUAAUUCUUUGGUGAACUAUAUACCAUCCAAUUAUUAAUUGUAAUAAUUGUGGUUGAGGGUUUUCUAUUGUGCAAAACAUCUUGUGUGGCUCCUUCAGGGUGCUCAAUAGGAGGUUCAUGGAUUGCCCCUGCUGCCUCCUCCUCGGUGCACAUUAGGGGGAGCACGAGGUGGCGCCAAAAACUGCGCUAGACGAUAACAUAGUUUGAAAACCUUCCCCAUGAAGAGGUGGGGUUAUUGUCCCUUUUCAGAUAGCAAAGAAAGCAUCCUCUGGUCAUUUUCCGAAGUUAUAGGUUACCUUAAGAAUCUAUGUGCACCAAGUUAUUCAUUGCAGGAGAUACAAUGACAUUUAAUAAAAGCCAAGGGCAGAUAUUUACCAAAAACUACUCUUUCUCAUGGCUAGCUUUAUAUUUCUAUAUCAAGAGUGACUUUGAGAAAAGGGUUGAAGGUACAUGCACUUGAUGAAAAUGGAAGCAACAACACUACAAUAGAAACAAGAAAUAUAGUAUAUCAAGAAGUACUUAAUAAUCUCUAGAAUACAUGUGCAUCCGCAUUUAUUUGUAUAUGUAUAUUUGUGGUGCAUUUUUCCUUGAUCAUGUAUUGUACUUUUACAUGUCUAAUUUCUCUCCUUAAUUUUGCCCUUUUUAGGAUGUUUCAGAACUAAAAAGAACUUUUUAUUUGAUGCAAUCUGUGUGCUCCAGCUGGCAUGUUAAGUUUCUGUAUCACAUAUAUGGAUUUCUCUUAGCGUCAAGUCCAUUUGUUUGUAGCUAUAUGUGCCGACUGUGAGAACGGCUUUAUGUUGUCCAUGCUAAGAGGCCAAGGUUCUUAACCACGAUUUUCGUCUGCCGGUGCAAGGAUGUGUCCACAAAAUCCUCUUCACUGUUCUUCGAUGUUGACUGCUGAUAUUUAGUGUUAUACCUUCCUAGAACAGUCAACCAAGUAUAGAUACGCGUUUGUGGAUUAGUCCAUGUACUUCCACAUCAUGUUAGAUUAUGUGUUGUUAGUUUGUCACUGUGUGGUUGCAAUCAAUGUACUAAGUGGCACUCUUGAUCUUACACAUCUUUAUGUUAUUUCUAAUUGACCAGUUAACUUAA